UUAAUUGAAACCAAAUAGGAAAAUCACUGUUAAUGAUUAAAUUGAGUAAACCUCCAAUUAAG
RNAcentral lists this transfer RNA (62 nucleotides) under Downesia tarsata. RNAcentral describes it as "tRNA-Asn". The record is from RNAcentral. Lineage: Eukaryota; Metazoa; Arthropoda; Insecta; Coleoptera; Chrysomelidae.